GACGAACGCUGGCGGCGUGCUUCCCCCCUGCACGUCGACCGCUGAUCUCCCGCUUGCGGGGGUGAUUAGUGGCGAACGGGUGAGUAAUACGUGAGUAACCUGCCCUUGACUCUGGGAUAAGCCUGGGAAACCGGGUCUAAUACUGGAUACUACUUCCUGCCGCAUGGUGGGGGGUGGAAAGGGUUUUACUGGUUUUGGAUGGGCUCACGGCCUAUCAGCUUGUUGGUGGAGUAAUGGCUCACCAAGGCGACGCAGGGUAGCCGGCCUGAGAGGGUGACCGGCCACACUGGGACUGAGACACGGCCCAGACUCCUACGGGAGGCAGCAGUGGGGAAUAUUGCACAAUGGGCGGAAGCCUGAUGCAGCGACGCCGCGUGAGGGAUGACGGCCUGCGGGUUGUAAACCUCUUUCAGCAGGGAAGAAGCCACAAGUGACGGUACCUGCAGAAGAAGCGCCGGCUAACUACGUG
This 469-nucleotide ribosomal RNA is filed under the name uncultured bacterium. RNAcentral's name for it is "partial 16S ribosomal RNA". It matches the Rfam family "Bacterial small subunit ribosomal RNA", at positions 28 to 507 of the family's 1533-position model. The record is from RNAcentral.